GUCAGGACCUUCUAGGAAUUGAAGGGGUUCAAAGUUGGUAUUAUUUUUUUUUACGUGUCCACCGUACAUUCUUUCGGCAAGUCUCGCCAGCUCCGUACGGCAAAAUUCGACACCGGACAUAGCUCAAAUGAAAGGUAAUGAAUCAGAGCAGGACUCACUUAAAUGAUUUUUUGGGGGUUAGGACCUUCUAGGAAUUGAAGGGGUUCAAAGUUGGUAUUAUUUUUUUUUUACGUGUCCACCGUACAUUCUUUCGGCAAGUCUCGCCAGCUCCGUACGGCAAAAUUCGACACCGGACAUAGCUCAAAUGAAAGGUAAUGAAUCAGAGCAGGACCCACUUAAAUGAUUUUUUGGGGGUUAGGACCUUCUAGGAAUUGAAGGGGUUCAAAGCUGGUAUUAUUUUUUUUUUUACGUGUCCACCGUACAUUCUUUCGGCAAGUCUCGCCAGCUCCGUACGGCAAAGUUCGACACCGGACAUAGCUCAAAUGAAAGGUAAUGAAUCAGAGCAGGACCCACUUAAAUGAUUUUUUGGGGGUUAGGACCUUCUGGGAAUUGAAGGGGUUCAAAGUUGGUAUUAUUUUUUUUUUACGUGUCCACCGUACAUUCUUUCGGCAAGUCUCGCCAGCUCUGUACGGCAAAAUUCGACACCGGACAUAGCUCAAAUGAAAGGUAAUGAAUCAGAGCAGGACCCACUUAAUUG
Molecule: long non-coding RNA, 697 nt
Organism: Mytilus californianus (California mussel)
Lineage: Eukaryota; Metazoa; Mollusca; Bivalvia; Mytilida; Mytilidae
Exons: 3
Source: RefSeq, a predicted model, not a curated record